UUAUUUUGCCACAUGGGAGCAGCGGAAACAAGUUGUGAACAUUCAUUUACAAACAAGCGGGUAGCUCCUGGCCUCCCGUCCCCUCCAGAAGGAGCAUCUUCAGGUUACUGCAUGUGAAGGUCAUUGGCUCAGAUCCCAAAGUGCCCCGGCUUCCUCUUCUCAGUCUCCCCUCAGUGCAGCGAUCUGUCUGGAGCCUCCGCCGA
Molecule: long non-coding RNA, 203 nt
Organism: Thunnus maccoyii (southern bluefin tuna)
Lineage: Eukaryota; Metazoa; Chordata; Actinopteri; Scombriformes; Scombridae
Exons: 3
Source: RefSeq, a predicted model, not a curated record